CUGUUGCUUGCUGACUCACACAGCAGGAAUUAGGCGGGUUGUGGCGAACGAGGAACCAAGAGGGGCGGAAACUGUAGCUAUACAACUGCGGAAUUGAUCAAUACGAGCAUGCUUUGUCUAGCCAGGGAGAGCGCCGAGGGUGCUGGUCUGUGGCACCAGAAGAGGUGAACUCUCAACGAGAUACUAAUCAAUGGUGAAGUAUUUAGAUCAGUUCUACAACCAACUCAUGUGCUUAUAACUGUAGCUUUUGUUCAAACCUCAGUUGUAGGUAAGCUACAUUGCCAAGUGCAAAUCCUCAUCUUACUACAGUUUUCAACUUUUCAUUGAUUUUCUAUUUUGGAUUGUAUUUCCAUUUUGGGCCCCAUUUUUGACUGUAGCUUUUGUUCUGACCCCACUUGUACGCAAUGUAAUUUGCAGCCAUGAUGCUACAUUGCCAAUAUUUUAGAAAACUGUAAUUUGCUGCCAUGAUGUUACGCACGUGCAGGUCUAUGGUAGUGGUACGAAUUUGGGGGUACAUCUCCUCGCACUCAGGUGGAAGAAAUUCCUCGCCCUCAAGUCCAACUAAUUCAGGACCUGCAUCUCUGAUAUACCGUGGUGAGUCAUGCUUACUCUCGAUCUCCCCAUUACUUUCCAUUCCAUUUCUUGGAUGAAAGGAAUGCUGGUUUAAUUUAACAUGUUGUUCAAACUCAGAAGCACUUGAUGUGCUCUUGCUGAUAUAUACAAGAAAUACCGGACCUUGAUGAAAAUCAUAGUACACUUCAUUCACAAUUUAAAUUCUUAGCCUAUCUAUCAUCAUGUCCAGGUUGGUUCCUUCCUCGAUGCCUUCUCUCUUGACAAUCGAUGAAAUACACAACUAGCUUGCACAUAUUUAAGGAGCACGUACAGUUUCAUUGUGUAAAAAAUAGUAGCAGGUGAGUUUUUAUUCAAAGAAGUCUCCACCAGUCGACCUACAUAUAUAUACAUGCCUAAAUGAUCUCUUUGUUUGUAAACACUUCAAUAUUUUGGUACUUUCCAUAGGUGGGUAUUUUAGCAGUUCAGCUAUCUGAAAGAGAAAAUGAGUUGCUUCAGCAGAAAACCGAGGUCAUGACAUUAGCCACUUCACUGAAACCGGUCAGUUCAUCACUUCAUCUUUGUUCGUUGGUAAGAUCUGUAUUCUGUUGACCUUUGUAAACACAUUUUAGUAUCAUUAUCCAUUCGGUGUUCUGUUUACAGUGUACUAUUAAAUGCCAUUUUCCAUGUGUAUUUUUGUUGAUUGCUGUUGGAUUUGGAGGCAAACUAAUUUCCUCCUAAAGUAUGAAUUAUCUGCCAUGUGUAUGACUUUGAAAUCUUCAGUUUGAAAUUAUGAAAGUUUGUUCCGCUCUUACAUUAAGCAAGUGUCUAGAGGAAGUUUUGCUUUUGUUUAGGCUCGAGAAACAAACUAUCACGCAGUAUUGUGAAUUUGAAAUGGUGCUCUUCUCUUCCAAAAAUGCAUAGCAAAAUUUCAGGGACCUGCAGAUAGUUUCUUGAGUAACAAAAUUUAGGAGGCCUGACUAAUUUUAUUAUGAUAGUUCAGACAUGCUGCCAAUGAAAUUCACCCUUUACAGAAAACAGCAAGUUGUUUACUCAUGUGUUGUUCUGUUAUUAGACUGUAGGGAUAAGUUACCUUUUAGUUUUUACUACACCAAGGUUAAAGCUUUGUUUUCUUUUCAUAGCUGCACCAUUUUCUUCUACAAUUUAUAGAUAUUCUUUUUUUUUCGAGAGUACGCCAAAGGCAUACUUUUAUAGAAGAGAGAAAAUACAAUGUACAAGAAGCCUCGAAAUGGAUGCGAACAUCCACUCUCGACCACACCCCAGUACAACCAAAGCAGAUGUACUCUAAACACCCCAUUACACAUAAUUAUUUACAGAUGUUCUCAUAGAUUUGGGAUGUAACAAUGGUUAACCUGCUCUUUAUGUUUUUUGAUAAUUGCUUUGACCAUCUGUUAAUUAGGCAUUACUAUGUAUCCGGCUUUUUCUAAGAUAUCUUUUAUGCCAUCAUGGCACUGAACCAUGAGUGAAGCAAUGAUGUAAACAACUCUGGGGUAUAACCAUUUGGCUGCUGGACUAAACAUUACAUAUUUAGUAACUAUUUCAAAACACAAAAUUUCAUGAUGAAAAAAUCAGCUUGUCCAUUUUCUUUUAUGGCUUGACUCUGUUCAAUCUUACAGAGAAAGGGACUGUUUUCUUCUUUUGUGACAUGACAGGAAGCAAGGUCAUGUGUAAGACGGAGGAGGAAACUGAUUUGGCUCUUCAUCACGUUGAGACUGUUGCAGCCAUGUGUGAUGUGUCAAUUUCUAUGAUGGGACAAAGGGUAGAAUCAGGAUGAUAUGGCUAAGAAAUAGUAGCAAAUAAGUGACUACUAGGGUGUCCGUACUAGCAACAAAGUUACAUAAAUUUAUUGAUCUUGAACUAAUUUGCACAUUCUUUAUUUAUCCGUAAUUUAGUUUUGCUUCCAUCCGAAAAACAUUAUAAAUCAGUAAUAAAGGUAUGUACGGAUGAAAAACUAUGUAAAUAUUAGACAACUAUUUAUUAACAAUUAUUUGAUGUCGAUUGAGACGUGCGUUGCACGUACAUGUUUACUAGUU
This 2603-nucleotide long non-coding RNA is filed under the name Triticum aestivum (bread wheat). RNAcentral describes it as "long non-coding RNA (TAES_LNC011769)". The record is from RNAcentral. Lineage: Eukaryota; Viridiplantae; Streptophyta; Magnoliopsida; Poales; Poaceae.